RNAcentral lists this transfer RNA (68 nucleotides) under Selaginella moellendorffii. It matches the Rfam family "tRNA". From Rfam's summary of the family: Transfer RNA (tRNA) molecules are approximately 80 nucleotides in length. Their secondary structure includes four short double-helical elements and three loops (D, anti-codon, and T loops). Further hydrogen bonds mediate the characteristic L-shaped molecular structure. tRNAs have two regions of fundamental functional importance: the anti-codon, which is responsible for specific mRNA codon recognition, and the 3' end, to which the tRNAs corresponding amino acid is attached (by aminoacyl-tRNA synthetases). tRNAs cope with the degeneracy of the genetic code in two manners: having more than one tRNA (with a specific anti-codon) for a particular amino acid; and 'wobble' base-pairing, i.e. permitting non-standard base-pairing at the 3rd anti-codon position. The record is from Rfam by way of RNAcentral. Lineage: Eukaryota; Viridiplantae; Streptophyta; Lycopodiopsida; Selaginellales; Selaginellaceae.
GACAGCUUGGCCGCGUUGGAUUUAGGCUCCAAUCCUCAAGGGCGUGGGUUCAAAUCCCACAGUUGUCA